Molecule: transfer RNA, 91 nt
Filed under: Holophagales bacterium
Lineage: Bacteria; Pseudomonadati; Acidobacteriota; Holophagae; Holophagales
Description: tRNA-Ser
Rfam family: tRNA
About the family: Transfer RNA (tRNA) molecules are approximately 80 nucleotides in length. Their secondary structure includes four short double-helical elements and three loops (D, anti-codon, and T loops).
Source: RNAcentral
GGAAGGUUGGCCGAGUGGUUUAAGGCGCUCGUCUUGAAAACGAGUGUGGGCCAGAAGCUCACCGGGGGUUCGAAUCCCUCACCUUCCGCCA